AGUGAACGCUGGCGGUAGGCCUAACACAUGCAAGUCGAACGGCAGCACCGUAAGAGCUUGCUCUUACGGGUGGCGAGUGGCGGACGGGUGAGGAAUACAUCGGAAUCUACUUUUUCGUGGGGGAUAACGUAGGGAAACUUACGCUAAUACCUCAUACGACCUACGGGUGAAAGCAGGGGAUCUUCGGACCUUGCGCGAUUGAAUGAGCCGAUGUCGGAUUAGCUAGUUGGCGGGGUAAAGGCCCACCAAGGCGACGAUCCGUAGCUGGUCUGAGAGGAUGAUCAGCCACACUGGAACUGAGACACGGUCCAGACUCCUACGGGAGGCAGCAGUGGGGAAUAUGGGACAAUGGGCGCAAGCCUGAUCCAGCCAUACCGCGUGGGUGAAGAAGGCCUUCGGGUUGUAAAGCCCUUUUGUUGGGAAAGAAAAGCAGCAGGUUAAUACCCAGCUGUUCUGACGGUACCCAAAGAAGAAGCACCGGCUAACUUCGUG
RNAcentral lists this ribosomal RNA (492 nucleotides) under uncultured bacterium. RNAcentral describes it as "partial 16S ribosomal RNA". It matches the Rfam family "Bacterial small subunit ribosomal RNA", at positions 29 to 507 of the family's 1533-position model. The record is from RNAcentral.